This 249-nucleotide long non-coding RNA is filed under the name Rattus norvegicus (Norway rat). Its description in RNAcentral is "long non-coding RNA NONRATT000608". Lineage: Eukaryota; Metazoa; Chordata; Mammalia; Rodentia; Muridae. The record is from RNAcentral.
AGGUAUCGUCGUCACAAAAGCUGGUGAGAAAAGGUGAUGCUUCUGAGCAAGACUGGCUUUCAGACUCCUCCUCCUCCUCCUCCACACCGCAGGACACUCAACAGAAAGGUACCUUGCAGAUGUAGCUGGUAGAAUACAUCAAAGAUAUACAAAAAUAACCAAAGAAAAGUUUGACGAGUUAAAAGAAGAAACAGUGCAUCUUUACACUGCAAACCAAGCCCUCAGCCUUGAACUGAGCACUCUGAGACA